GUGCUCGCUUUGGCAGCACAUAUACUAAAAUGGGAACGAUACACAGAACAUUAGCAUGGCCCCUGCACAAGGAUGACAUGAAAAUUCAUGAAGCAUUCCAUAUUUUU
RNAcentral lists this small nuclear RNA (107 nucleotides) under Octodon degus (degu). The record is from RNAcentral. Lineage: Eukaryota; Metazoa; Chordata; Mammalia; Rodentia; Octodontidae.